GGCUGCCUGGCCCAAUGGUCAAGGCGCUUGCCUACGAUGACGACAUGACCAUUGUGAUAGCAAGAGAUUCCAGGUUCGAGUCCUGGGGUGGUCG
Molecule: non-coding RNA, 94 nt
Organism: Cronartium quercuum f. sp. fusiforme G11
Lineage: Eukaryota; Fungi; Basidiomycota; Pucciniomycetes; Pucciniales; Coleosporiaceae
Source: the annotation of a GenBank genome assembly